Non-coding RNA from Physcomitrium patens, 3756 nucleotides. The record is from RefSeq and is a predicted model, not a curated record. Lineage: Eukaryota; Viridiplantae; Streptophyta; Bryopsida; Funariales; Funariaceae.
CUCUUGCACGCUGGUUCUGAGGAUCGCCAGAUUAGGGCUUGAAUGAGAGAUUGACUUACUUUAUUCUUCUAUUUCUUGCAGGUGCAAGCGGUGGUUUUAGGGUUUCGCUUCGCUGGCAUCUCCUACUUAUUACCCACCUUGCUUGCAGACUCUACGCAGUAAUUCGUUUCUUCUCGUCCUCGAUGCCAACCAUCGCUUUGAGGAUAUACAAUAGGAUUGUCUGACCUCUGCUUAGAGUUGAGUGUUCAGUUUGCAAUGUCGUGAACGUAGCCGAGAAAGUUAUUUGUCAGUUGAAUUUGGUUUCGUGAGGGUUAUCUGUCUAGGGUUCAGGGUUUAGUUUUGUUGCUAUGGGUGGUUACCUCUACGGGCACUAGUUGCGAGUGGUGCUGGGACCUUGUUUGGCAAGGAGAACCUCCUCAGUUUACCAUCUGCAUUUCUAUGAAUGCUUCUGUCUUUCUGCUAGCUACAGUGUAUUGGCCCAAUCCUGUUUUCGACUGCUUGGAAAACUAGUUUGCUUUCCCAACCGAAACAAUCUACAAAGAGUCCGGUACCGGUAUUUGUAUCAGUAGCAAAGUUGACGGGGGUAGUAUCCUUGGCUGGGUGCCACUCCAGCAAUGUGGAGGGCCAUUGCAUCCAUGUGAUGUCUUCUUAGCCGUAGAGUCCUCUGUGAACGUCAAGAAAAGAAUUUGUUCGCACGAGUGAUCCCCUGUGUUUCUUGUGCAGGAGGUUUAUCUGUGAACGCAAGAUUGCAUAUUCCAUUUCCCAAGGGAGCAGCGUCGCUGCAGUUACUCUGCGGGACAGACCAUGCUAUCUCCAGGUCUUUCUGUGCGUUAGAUUUUCGUUAUGAUAAGGUUAAUGGUUACAGUCACUGUAGACCAGCCAGAGUACCAUCUCUCGGAUUGCGUGCACAACUGGAUGGUGACAACCUCGUCUUGUGCCAUGGUCUCAAUGUCUAGGAGGUCAGUAGCGUAGAAUUUUUUUCUGUACAAAAAGCAGAGGUCAUUGGUACCCAUGAGCUGACCUCUCGUCAGUUACAGGUAGAGUGGGAGCAUCAGUUUCACGUGGUGAGCCUUUGCCGAAAUGAUGGUGAUAGGUUCAAUCCAUGUUGCGACACUGCUCACUUUUUGGAAGAGAAUUAUGAUUUAGGAUUUCUGAAUUAGAAACUUCGAUACGUCUUCUUGGAGAUGUGAAUUAGAAUCGAUGUUCCGUCGUUGACGCAGUUACGCAAUCCCGUGUGUAUAACGCAGGAAGUUGAAUGGCGGAUUGCAAGAGUGUGGGUGAGUGGACAGUUCGGCAGUGCAGUGGUGUCCACGGUGAUGACAAGAGAAUUUCGUCAGUCUCAUCAGACUUGAUACGGGAACAGAAAUUUAAUUUCGCAUUCCCUGUGAUAGUUAACCCGCUGAUCUGAGCGAACACCUAGUGGAUUAGAGAGGCAAGACCCAGGGCGAGAGUCGGUUAGUACCGUCUCAUGGAUGAUCACAGCUGAAAUCAGAGAAACCACGCGCAAUAAACCUGGAAACAGUAAACGAUCUAAACUACAAACAAAAUAUCUUGCAGAGCUGGGCACGCCGUGAGACAUUCAAGAGAAACAGGCGUGGGAGCUAAUGCGAAAGGAGUAGCCACUGACAUCGUCGUUUUCUAGGCAUUCUGAAGCGGCACGUUUACCAGCAGGCAGCAUUUCGUUAUGCGAUGGCUCGACCAAUUCGGCCAGUGCGACUGCUGUAAAAUUGAUAGAGAUCAUGUGAUUUAGCCGAUUUUUCAAAAGCAUGCCGAUCUCUUUUAAAAGACUUAACUCGGAUGAUAACGAAUUCGCCUUCGAAGGCUAUUAAAUGAAUUCUGAAGUCAGCCUCGAUUCGGGGUUAGCAUCAUUCCAGUCUUACCCGAUAAUCAUCUGAAAAUCUGUCAAAGCCCUCGGCUGUACGUUAACCUUCGGAAAGGCCGACGAGGGCGGCGGCUGUGGGAGCGGGGAAAAAUUCCAUCUCGAGGUGGCGCUCUACCGGGCAUGGCAGAUCACAGUCCAGGUGGGCUGAGCUGCAGAAGUACAAACACUGCCGCUCACCCGAGCGCCACAGCGAAAUGGAGUCCAAAUUCAUGGCAAUAUGGGUGCAGGCGAACGUAUUCUGCAAAGCGGCAUGCCCCUCCAAAUGGAAACCAAUCUUCCAUCUCGACUUCCUCCACAGAAACCUAGCCAACUGACUUCAAACCAUCCAGACACCCACAGCAAACCCGACACAGUUGCAAGAUGAACCCGGAAAUGAAGACUCACCUCAACGAAGUGCAAAACACACUGCCUCCAACGCGCAACCAGUGACCCAGCCACACCCCACCUCUCCGCAACAAUCCGAGGGCGUGAUGGAACAACUUUCGUCCCAAAUUAGUUUACCAGGACCAUCCCAGAGGCUCCAUUCAUACACAAAGUUAUUGUAUCGGGACACCCACUCCAGUGUACCAAGUGCCGAACAUUCGGAAACCAGGCCUUAGAGUAUAAACCAAGACCACCCAAUGAGGGGAAAAGAGAGACAAGCCCCCCGCAAAGAAUAAGGAAACCACCAGCCCCAUCGGAUGCCAUGGAACACUCAGAAUGGAGGAAGGAGACCACCCAAUCAACUCAACCACACAAAUGAAAACAUUAAAGCAGGGGGGGGGGAUCUUUCCCACACCAACACGCAAGAACAAUGCACUAACCCGACUCCACCGACAACACACAAGCUGAAAUUGGUGAUUACACAAGAAAGAAGCUCAGACCUCGAAUCCGCCCGUCCCACAUACAUGAUCUUCACCGCCACGAAGCCACCACAAGACGGAGGAGAGACAUCAACUAACCACCAACUUCACCCAGCAAGCAGAACCAAGACACCUACAAACGAAAGCACUGACUCACAACAGCACCAACUCCACAUUGUGCACCACAUGGAGGGGUUUCAAUUUGUUUGGAGGAAGAAACAAUAGGGAAAAAUCCACUUCCAACGUGAACCAACAAACAUAGACCCGGAAGAACCCAUUGAGGCAUAGAAAAGGGGGCAUCGAACCACAACGCGUCCCAGAGGGGUUACUUUGUACUGUGCCAUUCAUCCCACAUCCCAACACCCAGAUCACACGCUGCAGGAUAUUCUCGACAGCGGGGGAAGUUUUUUGCGAGGUCCUCAUCAACCUCAGCACCUCAAGGAUCCAACCGAUUGCCCAUAGACAAGUAUCCACCCUAGAAAAUCACACAAAAUGGUCCCACGCACAAGCAACGACGCUCUUCCUCUAAGAAACCGCAAUGGCUCUCUUGAAGAUAGUUAUCAACGCACACAACAUCGGAAACCCAUUAAAAAAAUAUGAGGAUGCAAUAUGGAGAUACUGAUGGGAGAAAAACGGCUAUAGAGAGACACAUUAUGACUGCGUGGCCUUCAUCUCUACCACCUCAAACACAAUGAAACUCAAAAGACCAGAUCAUCACAUUUGGAUUCCAAUGCACAGCGCGUUACGUGAAUUUUCAUCGACCACACAGAAAGGAACAUUGAGGCCACUCUCAACACAAGCUGAGACAGCCACACAAACACUCCUGGAUAAAAGCCAACUCGGAGACGACGUAUCUUCCCAUAGACCUGACAAGAAGAGAGCUAAAUCCAAUGCAAAAUCGAUAGAGGAACAAGGAGGACAUACAGAGUGCACUACCCUAGAGGAGGGUGUCAACGACAACCCCAUCCUUCUCGUAUGUCACAGGACAAUAUCGUCCUUUCAACUCUCAAUGCAGGACACUCGGACAAGGCA